This 528-nucleotide long non-coding RNA is filed under the name Pan troglodytes (chimpanzee). Its description in RNAcentral is "long non-coding RNA NONPTRT013905". The record is from RNAcentral. Lineage: Eukaryota; Metazoa; Chordata; Mammalia; Primates; Hominidae.
AGAAAAGAUCCCCAUGGAUUUUUUGCUUUUCCUGUCACGGAUGCAAUUGCUCCUGGAUAUUCGAUGAUAAUAAAACAUCCCAUGGAUUUUGGCACCAUGAAAGACAAAAUUGUAGCUAAUGAAUACAAGUCAGUUACGGAAUUUAAGAUUUCAAACUGAUGUGUGAUAAUGCAAUGACAUACAAUAGGCCAGAUACCGUGUACUACAAGUUGGCGAAGAAGAUCCUUCACGCAGGCUUUAAGAUGAUGAGCAAACUGCAUGUUUGAGCCUGAAGGGAACGCCUGCAGCUUGACGGACAGUACCGCAGAGGAGCACGUGCUGGCGCUGGUGGAGCAUGCAGCUGACGAAGCUCGGGACAGGAUCAACCGGUUCCUCCCAGGCGGCAAGAGAAGAAAUGUUCCCAUGAAGCCUCCAGAUGAAGCUAAGGUUGGGGACACCCUAGGAGACAGCAGCAGCUCUGUUCUGGAGUUCAUGUCGAUGAAGUCCUAUCCCGACGUCUCUGUGGAUAUCUCCAUGCUCAGCUCUCUG